UACGUAGGUGGCAAGCGUUGUCCGGAAUUACUGGGUGUAAAGGGCGUGUAGGCGGGAAGGCAAGUCAGAUGUGAAAGCCCAUGGCUUAACUGUGGAACUGCAUCUGAAACUGUUUUUCUUGAGUACUGGAGAGGAAAGUGGAAUUCCUAGUGUAGCGGUGAAAUGCGUAGAGAUUAGGAGGAACACCAGUGGCGAAGGCGGCUUUCUGGACAGUAACUGACGCUGAGGCGCGAAAGCGUGGGGAGCAAACAGGAUUAGAUACCCCUGUA
This 269-nucleotide ribosomal RNA is filed under the name uncultured prokaryote. RNAcentral describes it as "partial 16S ribosomal RNA". It matches the Rfam family "Bacterial small subunit ribosomal RNA", at positions 524 to 792 of the family's 1533-position model. The record is from RNAcentral.